UCCGUACAGUCAUUUAGAGAAAGGGAGAUUUGAAACCAUCUACAGUAUCCUGUGGCUGAGUGGCCAGGACCAGGUCAUUUAACCAGGACCAGGUCAUUUAACCAGGACCAGGUCAUUUAACCAGGACCAGGUCAUUUAACCAGGACCAGGUCAUUUAACCAGGACCAGGUCAUUUAACCAGGACCAGGUAAUUUAACCAGGGCCAGGUCAUUUAACCAGGACCAGGUCAUUUAACCAGGGCCAGGUCAUUUAACCAGGACCAGGUCAUUUAACCAGGACCAGGUCAUUUAACCAGGGCCAGGUCAUUUAACCAGGACCAGGUCAUUUAACCAGGACCAGGUCAUUUAACCAGGGCCAGGUCAUUUAACCAGGACCAGGUCAUUUAACCAGGACCAGGUCAUUUAACCAGGACCAGGUCAUUUAACCAGGACCAGGUCAUUUAACCAGAGCCAGGACCAGGUCAUUUAACCAGGGCCAGAUCAUUUAACCAGGGCCAGGUCAUUUAACCAGGACCAGGUCAUUUAACCAGGACCAGAUCAUUUAACCAGGACCAGGUAAUUUAACCAGGGCCAGAUCAUUUAACCAGGGCCAGGUCAUUUAACCAGGACCAGAUCAUUUAACCAGGACCAGGUCAUUUAACCAGGGCCAGAUCAUUUAACCAGGACCAGGUCAUUUAACCAGGGCCAGGUCAUUUAACCAGGGCCAGGUCAUUUAACCAGGACCAGGUCAUUUAACCAGGGCCAGGCCAUUUAACCAGGACCAGGUCAUUUAACCAGGGCCAGGUCAUUUAACCAGGGCCAGGUCAUUUAACCAGGACCAGGUCAUUUAACCAGGGCCAGAUCAUUUAACCAGGGCCAGGUCAUUUAACCAGGGCCAGGUCAUUUAACCAGGACCAGGUCAUUUAACCAGGGCCAGGUCAUUUAACCAGGGCCAGGUCAUUUAACCAGGGCCAGGUCAUUUAACCAGGGCCAGGACCAGGUCAUUUAACCAGAGCCAGGUCAUUUAACCAGGACCAGGUCAUUUAACCAGAGCCAAGACCAGGUCAUUUAACCAGAGCAAGAUCAUUUAACCAGGACUAGGUCAUUUAACCAGGGCCAGGUCAUUUAACCAGGGCCAGGACCAGGUCAUUUAACCAGGGCCAGGUCAUUUAACCAGGACCAGGUCAUUUAACCAGGACCAGGUCAUUUAACCAGGACCAGGUCAUUUAACCAGGGCCAGGUCAUUUAACCAGGGCCAGGUCAUUUUACCAGAGCCAGGACCAGGUCAUUUUACCAGGGCCAGGUCAUUUAACCAGAGCCAGGACCAGGUCAUUUUACCAGGGCCAGGUCAUUUAACCAGGGCCAGGUCAUUUAACCAGAGCCAGGACCAGGUCAUUUAACCAGGGCCAGGUCAUUUAACCAGAGCCAGGACCAGGUCAUUUAACCAGGGCCAGGUCAUUUAACCAGAGCCAGGACCAGGUCAUUUAACCAGGGCCAGGUCAUUUAACCAGAGCCAGGACCAGGUCAUUUAACCAGGGCCAGCAAUGACUAAGUCAGAUAUAUGGAUAAGUUAACCCUCUCUCUUUCAGCAGGCCAUGUACUGUAUGCAUGUGUCAUUUAGAGUAGUGAAGUUGCCCUAGAUGCUGGUCUGGGGUCUGUUUUGUGUUUUUAACCUCUAAUGGUUAAG
Oncorhynchus keta (chum salmon) is the source of this 1665-nucleotide long non-coding RNA. RefSeq lists it as uncharacterized. The transcript has 10 exons. The record is from RefSeq and is a predicted model, not a curated record. Lineage: Eukaryota; Metazoa; Chordata; Actinopteri; Salmoniformes; Salmonidae.